GUGCUCACUUUGGCAGCACAUAUACUACAAAUGGAAGGUUACAGAGAUUAGCAUGGCCCCUGUGCAAGCAUGCCAUGCAAAUUCAAGAAGCAUUCCAUAUAAAC
Small nuclear RNA from Mustela putorius furo (domestic ferret), 104 nucleotides. The record is from Ensembl. Lineage: Eukaryota; Metazoa; Chordata; Mammalia; Carnivora; Mustelidae.